This 468-nucleotide ribosomal RNA is filed under the name Psilosticha mactaria. RNAcentral describes it as "eukaryotic LSU rRNA". The record is from RNAcentral. Lineage: Eukaryota; Metazoa; Arthropoda; Insecta; Lepidoptera; Geometridae.
UUCAAGAGUACGUGAAACCGUCCAGGGGUAAACCUGCGAAACUCGAAUGAACGAACGGGGAGAUUCAUCGUCACUCACCGGCGCACCGGCUGCGGUUCGAUGGUCGCGGUCCAGGCCGCGGUCACUGCCGGAGUCGCGUCGCGUCCGGGGACGGCGUGCACUUCUCUCUCAGUAAUACAUCGCGACCCGUUCGAUGUCGGCCUGAGCGUCCCCCGGGAGUCCGGUCGCCGCGUUCGCGCGCGGCGUUCGGACCGGCGGGCACCGCCGGCCGGCCGUCGGACGGUAUUGAACACUGUGCGCUCACGCACCCCAGCGUGCGUCCGGCCCGACGCAAGGCAACGUCGUAUCCCCCGUCCUGCCCGAGCGCGGACGGGGGUGCGGCGCGCCUGUCGUCGCAGCCGUGCUGUCUCGGACCGUGAGCGUAUCCGUCUGCGAUGAUUCAGUUUCGGGCACUCGCAGGACCCGUCU